AAUAGUCUUUGGGGCAAGGUGAGAAAGCGACGCUUUCAAUUCCUGACCGGCGGUAGAGUCCGCUAACUCCUUAUGGGAGCUGAACCGAUGGGAUUUCGGUACCGACAGUAUAGUCUGGAUGGGAAAAGACAGCA
RNAcentral lists this non-coding RNA (134 nucleotides) under Megasphaera sp. Its description in RNAcentral is "FMN sequence". It matches the Rfam family "FMN riboswitch aptamer (RFN element)". From Rfam's summary of the family: The RFN element is a highly conserved domain that is found frequently in the 5'-untranslated regions of prokaryotic mRNAs that encode for flavin mononucleotide (FMN) biosynthesis and transport proteins. This element is a metabolite-dependent riboswitch that directly binds FMN in the absence of proteins. In Bacillus subtilis, the riboswitch most likely controls gene expression by causing premature transcription termination within the 5' untranslated region of the ribDEAHT operon and precluding access to the ribosome-binding site of ypaA mRNA. Lineage: Bacteria; Bacillati; Bacillota; Negativicutes; Veillonellales; Veillonellaceae. The record is from RNAcentral.